AGAUCGAACUAUAGAGUUUGAUCCUGGCUCAGAUUGAACGCUGGCGGCAUGCCUUACACAUGCAAGUCGAACGGCAGCACGGGAGCAAUCCUGGUGGCGAGUGGCGAACGG
This 111-nucleotide ribosomal RNA is filed under the name Betaproteobacteria bacterium HGW-Betaproteobacteria-18. Its description in RNAcentral is "partial 16S ribosomal RNA". It matches the Rfam family "Bacterial small subunit ribosomal RNA", at positions 1 to 105 of the family's 1533-position model. The record is from RNAcentral. Lineage: Bacteria; Pseudomonadati; Pseudomonadota; Betaproteobacteria. RNAcentral also lists the same sequence under 2 other names.